CUACCCUCGAUUUUCUGAAGGAAACUUACUUCCAACUUAGUUGUCAACACUUGGACGACUAUCCGCCAAGUUUCAGACAUGCGCAAUCUAAACUAAACGUGCCUCUCAGUCACCUUUCUCAGGAAGAUGCUAGAGAUGUGAUCCAUCACAAUGCGGGAAUAAGCCAAGAAGGAGAACAUUGGGAAACCCAGGAAACACAAUAGAUACGAAAGGUAAGGGGAGCAUAGUGAAUGCCAAGAGGAUGCUGAAAGAGCCCGCAAUGCCAGCUGUGCGCAGGCAGCCAGCCAGCUGCCCCGGCCAGAUUUCCUUUUGGUCAGAAAUGUCUGGGAAAUUCUGUGUCAGAGGAUGGAUUUGACAGCACUCCGGCUGCACCUGAACCUGAAGAGAUUUAAUGUUCAACCUAGAGUCUGGGAGUUGAACGGAUACACAGAAACCCAAAGAGAUUCAAGGAUCAUGCAGGUACUAGCUUCAGGGAAAACAAGAUCUGUGCAACAGAAGGAGCUGUAUUUAUGACUACUGAGUAUUGAUUUAACCCCACGCGUGGAAGGCCGGGCUUUGGAGAGAGUGAUCUACAUGAUGAAGAACCCCUGAUAUGACUAGACAUAAUUUGUGGCAGCCAAGAUUGUAAACAGAGCCUGUGCAGAUCGACUCAGACUGACCUGAGAGUUACCUUAUGCUUCAUUAUCACGCAAGCUUUCAAUGCAAAGGAAAAGUUCUUCAAGAAAUUAAAGAUGCCAUCCCAGUGAACACAGGAAUGAUAAGAAAGCAUCAUACUUAUGAAAGCAUACUGCUGAUAUGAAGAAAGUCUUAGUGGUCUAGACAGACAAUCAGUCCAACCACAACAUUCCUUUAAGUCAAAGCUUAUUCCAGAGCAAGGCUUGGACUGUCCUUAGUUUCAUGGGGACUGAGACAGGUGGGGGUAGCUGCAGAAGAAAAGUCUGAAGUUAGCAGAGCUUGGAUCAUGAGGUUUAAGAAAAGAUACCGUCUCACAACUUCAAAGUGCAAAGUGAAGCAGCAAGUGCUGAUGUACCACAGGCAGCAGGUUAUGCACAAGAUCUUGCUAAGAUCCCUGAUGGCAGCGGUUGCUUUAAACAGAUCUCAGUGUUGAUGAAACAGCCUUCUACUGGAAGAAGACGCCACCUAGGACUUUCAUGGCUGGAGAGAAGUCAGACCUGGCUUGGAGGCUCCCAAGGACAGACUGACUCUCUUGUUAGGGGCUAAAGCAGUUGGUGACUUUAGCUUAAAGUCAAUGUUCACCUACCAUUACAGAUGUCAUAGAGCCCUUAAGAAUUACAGUAACUCUAUUCUCGUGCUAUACAAAUGGAACAACACAGCCUGUAUGACAGCACAUUUGCUUACAGAGGUGGGGAACCUUUUUACCACCAGGGACCAUUUGCAUAUUUAUAACAUUAGUUGUGGGCCAUAUAAAAUUAUCAACUUGAAAAUUAGCGUGCUUGGGGUCCAGCGCUGUGGCGUAGCGGGUAAGGCUGCCGCCUGCAGGGCUGGCAUCCCACAUAGGCACUGGUUGGAUUCCCGGCUGCUCCACUUCCCAUUCAGCUCUCUGCUAUGGCCUGGGAAAGCAGUGGAGGGUGGCCCAAGCCCUUGAGAUCCUGCACUCACGUCGGAGACCCGAAAGAGGCUUAUGGCUCCUGGCUUCAGAUUGGCACAGCUCCAGCCAUUGUAGCCGACUAGGGAGUGAACCAGAGGAUGGAGGACGCUCUCUCUCUUUCUCUCCCUCUCAUUCUCUCUCUCUGUGUAAUUCUGACUUUCAAGUAAAUAAAUAAAUCUUUAAAAUUAGCCUGCUACAGAUUUAUUGAAUUUUGAGUUACACCUGUGGUUGCUUUGGGAGACACAGUCCAAAUGAUUUCUCAGGCCUUAUACAUUCUGUGGGCUACACAUCCCUCAUCCCUGGUAUACAACAUGGUUGCCUGCAUAUUUUAACUCUACUGUUGGGACUUAUUGCUGAGAAAAAAAACAUUCCUUCCAAAAUAUUACUAGUUCUUGAUAAUGUACCUGGUUACUUAGGAAUUGUUAUAGAUGUAUAACAAGAUCAGUAUUGUUUUCAUGGUUGUUAAUACAACACCCAUUCUGUAAUCCACAGAACAAAGAGUAAGUUUGACUUUCAAUCUGAUGAUUAAUACCUUAAUGAGGAGUUGCUUCUUAUGAAUGAGCAAAAAAGUGGUUUCUUGAAAUGCAAUCUACUGGUGUAGAUUCUGCAAAUAUUGCUGAAAUGACAACAAAGUAUUUAGAACAUUAUAUACAUUUAAAGAGCAGUGUCGAGGCCGGCACUGUGGUGCAGGUUAAUCCUCUGCCUGUGGCACUUGCAUCCCAUAUGGGCACUGGUUUGAGUCCCAGUUGCUCCUCUUCCAAUCCAGCUUUCUGCUAUGGCCUGGGAAAGCAGUAGAAGAUGGCCCAAGUGCUUGGGCCCCUGCACCCACGUGGGAGACCUGGAAGAAGCUCCUGACUCCUUGGUUUGGAUCAGUCCAGCUCUGGCUGUUGCAGCCAUUUGGGGCAUGAACCAGCAGAAAGAAGACCUCCCUCUGUCUCCUCUCCCUUUCACUGUCUGUAACUCUACCUCUCAAAUAAAUAAAUAAAUAAAAUCUUAGAAAAGAAAAGAACAGUGUCAGUUUAAGAGAACUGCCACGAAUUUCCUUUUAAUAUUUAUUUAUUUGACUUAUUUGAAAGGCAGAGAGACAGAGAAACAGACAGAGAUCUCCCACCUGCUAGAUCAUCGUCCCUAUAACAGCUGGGGCUGGGCCAGGCUGAAGCCGGAGCUGAGAACUCAAUUUGGGUCUCCCAAGUAGGUAUCAGGGACCCAAGUACUUGACCUGCUGUCUCCCAGUGUGUGCAUUAGCAGGAAGCUGUAAUAAGAGGUGGAGCCGGCACUUGAACCCAGGCACUCUAAUUUGGGAGGCAGGCAUUCCAAGCAGCAUCACAACUGCUGUGCUCACUCCUGACUCAUAUUUUGAAAGAAGUUCGACUCUGCAUAAGAUGCUAUCAAACAGCAUCACAUGCUACAGAGAAAUCCUUCAUGAAGGGAAGAGUCAAUCAAUUCCACAAACUGCCACUCUCUUAUUUUAAGACAUUGUCGCAGCCACUUCUGUCGCUCCCCCUCUUCGUGGAGGAACGACACUAAACCCUGCGCUGUUCUUUUGUCUGCUCGGCCCUCCCCGGGUUUGCUGCUGGUUCUUCCCGGGUUGGCUACCGACCCUUCCACCUCCGUGGAAGGGCGGUUCCCCCUGCCACUUUCCCCACUUCCGCGGGGAAGCGGCACACCGCCGGCCGGCUCUCUCGGGGGCUGCUCAGAUGUUCCUCAGGUGUUCCCGUUAGAUGUUCCUCUUAGAUGUUCCUGGUGCAUGUUGUCUCUCUCCUCCUUUAUAGUCCUCUUUCACCAAUCCCAACUCUGCUACCCACAUGCCAUGUACGCUGCUCUCCUCCAAUCAGGAGCAGGUCCUGCUGUUUAUUGGUUGAACUGGAGGCAGCUGUGUAGAAGCUGUUUCCUCCUCUCCCAGCGCCAUAUUGUGGGAGAGCAGAUGCAUAGAAUAAGUCUUAAUUCCAGUAACUUAGUCUAGUCCGAGUUGCUCCCAGUUGCUCCCCACAGAUCCCCCUUUCUUUUUAUUUUUGGCGUUGAUACGCGCCUGUCUUCGGUGCCCCACGGCACACACUCUGCUCUGCUUGCUAGAGUUGCCCACAGGUGCUUACAAGCCCUACCAAUCAGGCAAACCGAAUCCGGGUCCUCUCUUCGCCAUGUUGUGAGGAGGUUUUUAGGCGCUGAUGCGUGCCUGUGUUUGGUGCCCUGCAGCGCAUGCUCUGCUCUGCUAGAACUGCCUGCAGGUGCUUACAAGCCCUACCAAUCAGGCAAACCGAAUCCAAGCCUUCUCAUUGCCGUAUUGUGGGGAGACUUAUUGGUGUUGAUUCGUGCCUAUCUUUGGUGACCUGCAGCUCAUACUCUGGUCGAGCUGCCUGCUGGUGCUUAUCGCCUUACUAAUCAAUCAGACCGAAUCCAAGCCUUCUCAUUGCGGUAUUGUGGGGAGACUUAUUGAUGUUAAUUCGUGCCUGUCUUCGGUGACCUGCGGCGCAUAAGCUGCUAGCCGCCCGCAGGUGCUCACCACCUCCCUAAUCAGGCAGACCGAAUCCAAGCUCUCUCAUUGCCAUGUUGAGGAGAGGCCUUAUUUUUCUCUAUUUCUCUAUCUCCAGGCAUUCCUAUCUUUCCUAUUUUACUUCUAUCUACCAGCAUUCCUAUUUCUCUCGUUUUACUUCUAAACUUCUGUUUCUCUUAUCCCUGCAGCUUCCCGGCGCCCGACCCGAGGCUGCUUCUCGGCAGCUUCCCAGCUCUGAGCCGCUUCAGCCCGCGCUUCUCUCAUCUGCGUGGCUUCCUGGCUUCGCGCGCGCACUCCACGGUCUCCGCGCCCCUUCGCGCCCACACCACGGCCUCGCACUAGCCCUGGGUUCCCUAUCUACUUGUGCCCCGCGCGCUCUCUCUGCCCGCGGCGGCUUCCACGAGUCACACAGCACAGCUCACAUUUCCGCCACCGGUAUUCAGUCCAAGUUCCCUGGGCUAACCUGGCGAAUUCAACCUAGCCCACGCUUCUGCCUCACGGUUUGGCUUCCCGUCUUUUGCUCCCCGGGCUAAUCUGACGGAUUCCAACCUGGCUUACGCGUCCACCUCUAGUUUUAGCUUUUCGCCUUUUGUUCCCCGGGCUGACUUGAAGAAUUCCAACAUAGCUUACGUUUCCGCCUUGGCCUGCCCCCGCAGCUUCAAUUUCCCUAACAUUUUUCUCUACCUGGUAUGUUUCCCUAAGUUUUCUUCCAACAAUAUUCUCCUCUCAUUUCUCCUGGCCUCUCCCCACAGUCCGUAUCCAAGUCUGUUUGUUCUAGCUUUCACUUUCGCUUUCGACCUUAGAGAUUUCUCCCAGCUUCCCCCCGUAGUCCGUAUCUGAGUCUAUGCCUAGGCUUUCAAUAGCUUCUUCCGGCACCUUUUCCGUCCGGCUUUCCCCUAGGCUCUUUGCUAGUCUCUCUCUCCGGUAUUUUCCCACUUCUUCCCGCUUCUUCCCUCCUAGGUUUUCUAUCCGAGUCACGGCACCAUUAUGUCGCUCCCCCUCUUCGUGGAGGAACGACACUAAACCCUGCGCUGUUCUUUUGUCUGCUCGGCCCUUCCCGGGUUUGCUGCUGGUUCUUCCUGGGUUGGCUACCAAUCCUUCCACCUCCGUGGAAGGGCGGUUCCCCCUAGCCACUUUCCCCACUUCCGCGGGGGAGCGGCACACCGCCGGCCGGCUCUCUCGGGGGCUGCUCAGAUGUUCCUCAGGUGUUCCCGUUAGAUGUUCCUCUUAGAUGUUCCUGGUGCAUGUUGUCUCUCUCCUCCUUUAUAGUCCUCUUCCACCAAUCCCAACUCUGCUACCCACACGCCAAGUACGCUGCCCUCCUCCAAUCAGGAGCAGGUCCUGCUGUUUAUUGGUUGAACUGGAGGCAGCUGUGUAGAAGCUGUUUCCUCCUCUCCCAGUGCCAUAUUGUGGGAGAGCAGAUGCAUAGAAUAAGUCUUAAUUCGAGUAACUUAGUCUAGUCCGAGUUGCUCCCAGUUGCUCCCCACAACUUCAAGCUUCAACAAUACAACUCUGAUCAAUCAACAUCCAUCACCAUCAAAGCAAGACCCUCCACCAGCAAGAUUACAACUCACCGAAGGCUCUGUGGAUUGCCAGCAUCCUAAAUCAAUAAAAUAUUUUCAAAUUAAGACACACAUGGUCUUACAUAUGCUGUAGACUUUGGUAUAAUUUAAAUGUAACUUUACAUGUUUUGAGAAAUCAAUUUGUGUCAGUUGCUUUAUUGUGAUGUUAACUCCACUGCAGUGGUCUGGAACCAGAUCUGCAAUGUCUCUGAGGUCUGCCUGUAUAAUAGACAGUCUACAAUGCCUCAUUUCAAAAAAAUUGCCAAACAUAUUACACAGCAAAGGAAGUGUGGGAGCAAAGUUUCACUGAACAAAGGUAAAGUUCAACAGUAAAGUAACAGUUUUAGUUAUGCAUCAUUAGGGUUGAAUGACAGAUGAAACAUGUAUUAUAACAAUACCUCAAAUCAAAGUGGGGGUGGGACAGAGCUAUGUAAGAAUGCCCAUCAACAGUAGACUAGAUAAAGAAAUUAUGGGACAUGCACUCUAUAGAAUACUAUACAGCAGUCAAAAACAAUGAAAUCUGGUCAUCUGCAACAAAAUGGAGGAAUCUGGAAAACAUCAUGCUGAGUGAAUUAAGCCAGUCCCAAAGGGACAAAUAUCAUAUGUUCUCCCUGAUCAGCGACAACUAACCAAGCACCUGUUGAAGUGAAAUGGACACUAUGAGAAACAGAGAUUUGAUCAGCCCUUGUUCUGAUUGUUGAUGUACAAUUUAAUACUUUAUCCCUUUUAGUACUUUUUUUUGUUCUGGUAAAUACUAUAUAUUGGUUGAAUGUGGGGAGCAACUGAGACUAGACUAAGUUACUGGAAUUAAGACUUAUUCUAUGCAUCUGCUCUCCCACAAUAUGGCGCUGGGGAGGAGUAAACUUCUAUGCAGCUGCCUCUCGCCAACUUGACGGAUAAACUGCAGGAGCUGAUCCUGCUCCUGAUUGCAGGAGAGCAGCGUGCUCGGUGUGUGGGUAGCAGAGUUGGGAUUGGUGGAAGAGGACUAUAAAGGAGGAGAGAGACAACAUGCACCAGGAACAUCUGAGGGAACAUCAGAAGGAACACCUGAGCAGCCCCCGAGAGAGCCGGCCGGCGGUGUGCCACUCACCCGUGGAAGCGGGGAAAGUGGCAGGAGGAGCAGCCCCUCCACGGAGGUGGAGGGGUCGGCAGCCAACCCGGGAAGGACCAGCAGCAAACCCGGGAAGGGCCGAGCAGAC
Oryctolagus cuniculus (rabbit) is the source of this 6861-nucleotide non-coding RNA. The record is from RefSeq and is a predicted model, not a curated record. Lineage: Eukaryota; Metazoa; Chordata; Mammalia; Lagomorpha; Leporidae.